This 26-nucleotide non-coding RNA is filed under the name Rattus norvegicus (Norway rat). The record is from RNAcentral. Lineage: Eukaryota; Metazoa; Chordata; Mammalia; Rodentia; Muridae.
UGGGUAUUUCAACAGUCAGUGUUCUA